CAAGGAGUAGUUUAGACAUAGAACGCUAGCUUUGGGAGCUAGUGGUGGGGGUUAAAGUCCCCCCUCUUUGA
This 71-nucleotide transfer RNA is filed under the name Puck pinnata. RNAcentral's name for it is "tRNA-Pro". It matches the Rfam family "tRNA". Rfam says of the family: Transfer RNA (tRNA) molecules are approximately 80 nucleotides in length. Their secondary structure includes four short double-helical elements and three loops (D, anti-codon, and T loops). Lineage: Eukaryota; Metazoa; Chordata; Actinopteri; Lophiiformes; Oneirodidae. The record is from RNAcentral.